GCUCCCAUGGCGUAGUGGUCACUGCGCUCGCCUUGCACGCGGGAGACCCGGGUUCGAAUCCCGACCGGGUCA
RNAcentral lists this transfer RNA (72 nucleotides) under Diaphorina citri (Asian citrus psyllid). It matches the Rfam family "tRNA". From Rfam's summary of the family: Transfer RNA (tRNA) molecules are approximately 80 nucleotides in length. Their secondary structure includes four short double-helical elements and three loops (D, anti-codon, and T loops). Further hydrogen bonds mediate the characteristic L-shaped molecular structure. tRNAs have two regions of fundamental functional importance: the anti-codon, which is responsible for specific mRNA codon recognition, and the 3' end, to which the tRNAs corresponding amino acid is attached (by aminoacyl-tRNA synthetases). tRNAs cope with the degeneracy of the genetic code in two manners: having more than one tRNA (with a specific anti-codon) for a particular amino acid; and 'wobble' base-pairing, i.e. permitting non-standard base-pairing at the 3rd anti-codon position. The record is from Rfam by way of RNAcentral. Lineage: Eukaryota; Metazoa; Arthropoda; Insecta; Hemiptera; Psyllidae.